ACGUACACUCCUGCGGGAGGCAGCAGUGGGGAAUAUUGCACAAUGGGCGCAAGCCUGAUGCAGCCAUGCCGCGUGUAUGAAGAAGGCCUUCGGGUUGUAAAGUACUUUCAGCGGGGAGGAAGGCGAUAAGGUUAAUAACCUUGUCGAUUGACGUUACCCGCAGAAGAAGCACCGGCUAACUCCGUGCCAGCAGCCGCGGUAAUACGGAGGGUGCAAGCGUUAAUCGGAAUUACUGGGCGUAAAGCGCACGCAGGCGGUCUGUCAAGUCGGAUGUGAAAUCCCCGGGCUCAACCUGGGAACUGCAUGCGAAACUGGCAGGCUAGAGUCUUGUAGAGGGGGGUAGAAUUCCAGGUGUAGCGGUGAAAUGCGUAGAGAUCUGGAGGAAUACCGGUGGCGAAGGCGGCCCCCUGGACAAAGACUGACGCUCAGGUGCGAAAGCGUGGGGAGCAAACAGGAUUAGAAACCCUUGUAGUCCCAUG
Molecule: ribosomal RNA, 479 nt
Filed under: uncultured organism
Description: partial 16S ribosomal RNA
Rfam family: Bacterial small subunit ribosomal RNA
Source: RNAcentral